CCAACCUAAAGUUAUACAAAUUUACAUAAAUUUUCCCACUCACUUUAGAGCAAUUCAAAUGAGGUACAGCCCAUUUGAUACAGGAUCCAACCUUUACUAACGGGUAAUAUCUGACUCCACCCCCAAGUAGGCUUAAGAGCAGCCACCUUUUAAAAAGCGUCAAACCUUAACGUAUUAACACCAAUUCACAACCCCCCAUCAACCCCUUUCACCCUACUGAGAAAUUCUAUAACAUUAUAGAACCUUUAAUGUUAAAACUAGUAACAAGAGAUACACCCUCUCUAUAAUGCAAACUCAAACCAGCAAGAACCUAUCACUGGUGAUUAACAGAAACAAAGUAGUAACUUUCUCAAGAAAACUCUACCCCCUCAACUGUUAACCUAACACAAGAGCAUCCCAAGAAAGAUUUAAAGAAAAAGAAGGAACUCGGCAAACAUAAAUCUCGCCUGUUUACCAAAAACAUCGCCUCUUGUCACCUAUAAGAGGUCCAGCCUGCCCAGUGACUCUUGUUCAACGGCCGCGGUAUCCUAACCGUGCGAAGGUAGCGUAAUCACUUGUCUUUUAAAUAAAGACUAGUAUGAAAGGCACCACGAAGAUUAAACUGUCUCCUCUCUCCAAUCAGUGAACCUAAUCUCCCCGUGAAA
RNAcentral lists this ribosomal RNA (644 nucleotides) under Pristimantis bicantus. RNAcentral's name for it is "partial large subunit ribosomal RNA". The stretch from base 404 to 644 matches the Rfam family "Archaeal large subunit ribosomal RNA", at positions 1787 to 2135 of the family's 2987-position model. The record is from RNAcentral. Lineage: Eukaryota; Metazoa; Chordata; Amphibia; Anura; Strabomantidae.